GUUUUCAUGAAAGAACUUGAAUACACAAUUUACUUGACUAGAGAUUGCCGUACAAUUAAUGCAAAUCCUGAAAAUUUAAUAUUGGUCUGUUUUUCAUGCAGCCCUUGCUUACCAUCGAUGUCUGGGAGGUAAAUACACACUUUUAUACCAAAUCCAGUGCUUUUCUUUCUUACAAGUUGAUUGAUAAUUUUUGUUUUCUUUUGGUAAAUGGAACAGCAUGCUUACUACCUUGACUUCCAGGUAACAGCUUAUUCAUAAUUGUUAACAAAACGGUUUAUUUCAGUUUAUUUGUUUUGUUGAUUGUUGUAAUCUAUUUGUAUAUGAGCAGAACCGAAGACCAGAUUACAUAAAGACAUUCAUGACCAAUCUUGUGUCUUGGGAAGCUGUGAGUGCCAGACUUGAGGCCGCAAAGGCUGCUUCUUCCUCUUCUUCUUAAGCAGAGUUCUGAACAAUUUGACUUCAGUGAGUUCUGCACUUACUGGAGUUUUUUUUUUUUAAAUAAAGUAUUGGUCGUUGUAAUAAGGACACAGCUCUCUUGUUCUGUGUCACAGAGUCCUUGAUCUAGGUCUUCUACCUGACUACCUGUGUCAUGAACAAUUACCAUGCUCUUUCUGUGGUUUUUCUUUUGUGUGUGUGUGUGUGUGUUAAGUUUUUUCACCUGUUUUCC
RNAcentral lists this long non-coding RNA (667 nucleotides) under Arabidopsis lyrata. RNAcentral's name for it is "long non-coding RNA (ALYR_LNC000830)". The record is from RNAcentral. Lineage: Eukaryota; Viridiplantae; Streptophyta; Magnoliopsida; Brassicales; Brassicaceae.